Molecule: long non-coding RNA, 2395 nt
Organism: Lutzomyia longipalpis
Lineage: Eukaryota; Metazoa; Arthropoda; Insecta; Diptera; Psychodidae
Exons: 2
Source: RefSeq, a predicted model, not a curated record
GCAGUUUGGAAUGUGCUUCGUACGACGGUAUUUACUCUUUCUUCCACAUUGUCGAAUAUUUUUAUUUUGAACUUGCCCUGCGGAGAAUUGGUUCAGUCAUUUGUGAAUGAGGUGAGAGGGCCCCCCAUUUCACUCUUCCUCGCACAUUACAUACAUGCAUACAACUUCUUUCAUUGACUUGUGUCUUCCGUGGCGGCAACACGCAAUGUCUCUCUACUCAAUGUGGAUGAUGAUGAAGAAGAGGAUGAAGAACCCCAAAAGUGAAGGAGAUGGAAAACCUUCACGACAUAGGCAGAGAGAGGUGGAGAGAUAAGGUUUAAAAGAAAACGAAAAAUAAAAUAAAGAGAGAAGAAAUCAUACGCAAGAAGUUGAAGGAACACGGCGCCAGAGCAACAAUUUCAUUUUAUAACUUCUUGUACAAAUGGCAUCACACAGUCACAGUCAAAGAGAGCAGAGACCCAUUCAAAUGAGACACAUUUCUAUGCAAAUUCUCACUUCAACCCAUCCUGCCAAUCAUCUUUUGUAAAGCAUUUAUAUUCCCAUUCAUGGAUCAUCGCAAAAUUUUUCAACCAUUUGUUGUUAUAUACAUAACAAAAAAGUCAGACCAAAAAGAGAGGGUGAAGAAGGAAAUUAACAAAUAAAAAAAAACUCAAGAAGAAAUCCAAUUGAGAUGAAAUGAUGAGGAAUUGAAAGUGUUAGUAGUAGCAAGUUGCUCAUUUUAAUUCCUCCUUCAUCUCUUUCGUUUUUUCUUCUCUUCUUAUUGUCAUUCACAUCGUAGAAGAGAAUAAUAAUAAUAACAUAAAAAAACCUCCAUCUAAAGUGCUAUGCUCCAUCAAUGACACCUCUUUUUGGGCAAACUCCACGUAACUGUCUCCCAUCCGGAUAGAUCUCUCAUUCUCCUGCGCACAUUAAAAGACAAUAUUCUUCCAUGUCGAGAGGUCGUGCUGCUGGAUUGAGUGAAUGAGGAAUAUUUAGUCAGUUAAUUAACCUUCUCAAUCCACCCUCGGAAAAACCAUGAGACUUCCACAUUUUUGUAUGCCAACAACGGCACAACAGCCUGACAUAUAGUAUGCAGAAGGUGAUGAAACAACAUCAAAGAACUCCAAAAUGCCAAAAGAAAUCUAACUGCCCAUCUGCAGUGUCCCCCCCCACACCCCCUGUAAGAACAAUGGAAAAUACAGUCAACCGUACACAAGUGGAAAAUGCAAAAAAAAAAAAAAGAAAAAAGCUCUAAAACUAUGACGACGACCAGUUAGUGGCGCCCACACCCUUUCCCAUGGCACUUUUGCAUCACAAACACAACAUACUCUACUCAUAUAAAUGGCCUCACAAUGCCACACCGCCGGAGCAACAUUCAACUCCAACAAACGGAUAGUUGCUAUAAGGUAUACCUCCCCAGGUGCAUUCACGUAAUCGGCACAAUUUUGCUGUGACAACACCACACCAUCAUCCGAGGAAAAUGACGGAAAAACGAGGAGAGAAAAUGUUGUGUUGAGGAUGGUUCAAAAGAAAAUCAAAAUCAAAUGGGUAUGUCGUCAGUUUCAAAUGAUGGUGGGUGGUUGGAAAAAAAAGAGGAAGAAUCUAACGUAACCUGCUAUUCAGCUAAUGAUUUUUUAGUUGAAUAUUGAUUAAAGAAUUUACCUCCUCAUUUUAUUUUUCUUCUAAAUAAUAAAAUACUACACUGUCAUUCAAAUUUUAGUAAAGUGCUACAAUUUUUAAGAUAUUGACUUGAAAACCAAAUAAAACUUUUUGAGUUUACGUAUCUUUUGGUGGCAGAAGUUUUCAGAUAUCUUAAUCCAAUCAAAAGUUAUUCGCGUUUAAAAUCAUGCCCUAAUUUCCUGGUCACCCUGUAUAAUUGGAAAUUUUAGUCAUUUUGACUUGACUCACUAAACUGUUUAGUUCUCUUCACUAAAGUUUGUUUUUUCUUAGUGCUGGUAACUAAAAUUUUUAAUUUUAUACCCUUAAAACUUAAAACUAAACUUUAGUAGCCAAUUUAGUCAAAUUAUUCACUAAAGUUUCCAGUAAAUACAUAACUACUAAAUUCUUUAGUUCUGUCAACUAGAAUUUUAGUAGAACCUUUUUUUAUUAAAAUUUUCUAAUAAAGUUUCGUCAGUGCUAGUUUUAGUACUGGCAACGAAAAUUUGAAUGACAGUGUAUUUUGGCUCAAAUAAAAUUAUUUCUUCUUUGAAAUUGUUUAAUUAUUCAUUUCAUGUAAAGUAAUUACUUCCAGACACAACAAUUUCACUAAUUAGAUGAUUUUUUUUAGAAAAGAAAUUCAUGGAAUGGUUUAAUUUGUCAUUUCAAGUCUUGUGGAUUGUAUUUGAUCUCAAUUUUCUGUUCAUUGUUUCUUUAAAAAAAUAAAUAAUUUUAAGAAAACUCGAAGAAUCUUCUUGAA